GGGUUGUGAGGUUAAGCGACUAAGCGUACACGGUGGAUGCCCUGGCAGUCAGAGGCGAUGAAGGACGUGCUAAUCUGCGAUAAGCGCCGGUAAGGUGAUAUGAACCGUUAUAACCGGCGAUUUCCGAAUGGGGAAACCCAGUGUGACUCGUCACACUAUCAUUAACUGAAUCCAUAGGUUAAUGAGGCGAACCGGGGGAACUGAAACAUCUAAGUACCCCGAGGAAAAGAAAUCAACCGAGAUUCCCCCAGUAGCGGCGAGCGAACGGGGAGGAGCCCAGAGCCUGAAUCAGCAUGUGUGUUAGUGGAAGCGUCUGGAAAGGCGCGCGAUACAGGGUGACAGCCCCGUACACAAAAGCGCAUGUGCUGUGAGCUCGAUGAGUAGGGCGGGACACGUGGUAUCCUGUCUGAAUAUGGGGGGACCAUCCUCCAAGGCUAAAUACUCCUGACUGACCGAUAGUGAACCAGUACCGUGAGGGAAAGGCGAAAAGAACCCCGGCGAGGGGAGUGAAAAAGAACCUGAAACCGUGUACGUACAAGCAGUGGGAGCACAGGUUUACCUGUGUGACUGCGUACCUUUUGUAUAAUGGGUCAGCGACUUAUAUUCUGUAGCAAGGUUAACCGUAUAGGGGAGCCGGAGGGAAACCGAGUCUUAAUUGGGCGUUAAGUUGCAGGGUAUAGACCCGAAACCCGGUGAUCUAGCCAUGGGCAGGUUGAAGGUUGGGUAACACUAACUGGAGGACCGAACCGACUAAUGUUGAAAAAUUAGCGGAUGACCUGUGGCUGGGGGUGAAAGGCCAAUCAAACCGGGAGAUAGCUGGUUCUCCCCGAAAGCUAUUUAGGUAGCGCCUCGUGAAUUCAUCUCCGGGGGUAGAGCACUGUUUCGGCUAGGGGGCCAUCCCGGCUUACCAACCCGAUGCAAACUGCGAAUACCGGAGAAUGUUAUCACGGGAGACACACGGCGGGUGCUAACGUCCGUCGUGAAGAGGGAAACAACCCAGACCGCCAGCUAAGGUCCCAAAGUCAUGGUUAAGUGGGAAACGAUGUGGGAAGGCCCAGACAGCCAGGAUGUUGGCUUAGAAGCAGCCAUCAUUUAAAGAAAGCGUAAUAGCUCACUGGUCGAGUCGGCCUGCGCGGAAGAUGUAACGGGGCUAAACCAUGCACCGAAGCUGCGGCAGCGACGCUGAUGCGUUGUUGGGUAGGGGAGCGUUCUGUAAGCCUGCGAAGGUGGCCUGUGAGGGUUGCUGGAGGUAUCAGAAGUGCGAAUGCUGACAUAAGUAACGAUAAAGCGGGUGAAAAGCCCGCUCGCCGGAAGACCAAGGGUUCCUGUCCAACGUUAAUCGGGGCAGGGUGAGUCGACCCCUAAGGCGAGGCCGAAAGGCGUAGUCGAUGGGAAACGGGUUAAUAUUCCCGUACUUGGUGUUACUGCGAAGGGGGGACGGAGAAGGCUAUGUUGGCCGGGCGACGGUUGUCCCGGUUUAAGCGUGUAGGUGUGUGUUCCAGGUAAAUCCGGUUCACUUUAACACUGAGGCGUGACGACGAGGCACUACGGUGCUGAAGCAACAAAUGCCCUGCUUCCAGGAAAAGCCUCUAAGCAUCAGGUAACAUCAAAUCGUACCCCAAACCGACACAGGUGGUCAGGUAGAGAAUACCAAGGCGCUUGAGAGAACUCGGGUGAAGGAACUAGGCAAAAUGGUGCCGUAACUUCGGGAGAAGGCACGCUGACAUGUAGGUGAAGUGAUUUACUCAUGGAGCUGAAGUCAGUCGAAGAUACCAGCUGGCUGCAACUGUUUAUUAAAAACACAGCACUGUGCAAACACGAAAGUGGACGUAUACGGUGUGACGCCUGCCCGGUGCCGGAAGGUUAAUUGAUGGGGUCAGCGCAAGCGAAGCUCCUGAUCGAAGCCCCGGUAAACGGCGGCCGUAACUAUAACGGUCCUAAGGUAGCGAAAUUCCUUGUCGGGUAAGUUCCGACCUGCACGAAUGGCGUAAUGAUGGCCAGGCUGUCUCCACCCGAGACUCAGUGAAAUUGAACUCGCUGUGAAGAUGCAGUGUACCCGCGGCAAGACGGAAAGACCCCGUGAACCUUUACUAUAGCUUGACACUGAACAUUGAGCCUUGAUGUGUAGGAUAGGUGGGAGGCUUUGAAGUGUGGACGCCAGUCUGCAUGGAGCCGACCUUGAAAUACCACCCUUUAAUGUUUGAUGUUCUAACGUGGACCCGUUACCCGGGUUGCGGACAGUGUCUGGUGGGUAGUUUGACUGGGGCGGUCUCCUCCUAAAGAGUAACGGAGGAGCACGAAGGUUGGCUAAUCCUGGUCGGACAUCAGGAGGUUAGUGCAAUGGCAUAAGCCAGCUUGACUGCGAGCGUGACGGCGCGAGCAGGUGCGAAAGCAGGUCAUAGUGAUCCGGUGGUUCUGAAUGGAAGGGCCAUCGCUCAACGGAUAAAAGGUACUCCGGGGAUAACAGGCUGAUACCGCCCAAGAGUUCAUAUCGACGGCGGUGUUUGGCACCUCGAUGUCGGCUCAUCACAUCCUGGGGCUGAAGUAGGUCCCAAGGGUAUGGCUGUUCGCCAUUUAAAGUGGUACGCGAGCUGGGUUUAGAACGUCGUGAGACAGUUCGGUCCCUAUCUGCCGUGGGCGCUGGAGAACUGAGGGGGGCUGCUCCUAGUACGAGAGGACCGGAGUGGACGCAUCACUGGUGUUCGGGUUGUCAUGCCAAUGGCACUGCCCGGUAGCUAAAUGCGGAAGAGAUAAGUGCUGAAAGCAUCUAAGCACGAAACUUGCCCCGAGAUGAGUUCUCCCUGAGACUUAGAGUCUCCUGAAGGAACGUUGAAGACGACGACGUUGAUAGGCCGGGUGUGUAAGCGCAGCGAUGCGUUGAGCUAACCGGUACUAAUGAACCGUGAGGCUUAACCUUACAACGCCGAAG
Molecule: ribosomal RNA, 2929 nt
Filed under: Salmonella enterica subsp. enterica serovar Saintpaul
Lineage: Bacteria; Pseudomonadati; Pseudomonadota; Gammaproteobacteria; Enterobacterales; Enterobacteriaceae
Description: 23S ribosomal RNA
Rfam family: Bacterial large subunit ribosomal RNA
Source: RNAcentral